GUUCGAUUAUGGUUGUUGGUGAGGUAAUGGCUCACCAAGCCAAUAAUCGAUAGGGGCCGUGAGAGCGGGAGCCCCGAGAUGGGUACUGGGACAACGACCCAGGCCUUACGAGGCGCAGCAGGCGCGAAACCUCCGCAAUACACGAAAGUGUGACGGGGUUACCCAAAGUGUUCAAUUUUGAACUGUGGUAGGUGAGUAAUGUUCCCUACUAGAAAGGAGAGGGCAAGGCUGGUGCCAGCCGCCGCGGUAAAGCCAGCUCUUCAAGUGGUCGGGAUAAUUAUUGGGCUUAAAGUGUCCGUAGCCGGUUUAGUAAGUUCCUGGUAAAAUCGGGUAGCUUAACUAUCUAUAUGCUAGGAAUACUGCUAUACUAGAGGGCGGGAGAGGUCUGAGGUACUACAGGGGUAGGGGUGAAAUCUUAUAAUCCUUGUAGGACCACCAGUGGCGAAGGCGUCAGACUGGAACGCGCCUGACGGUGAGGGACGAAAGCCAGGGGAGCGAACCGGAUUAGAUACCCGGGUAGUCCUGGCCGUAACGAUGCAUACUAGGUGAUGGUACGGCCAUGAGCCGUGUCAGUGCCGUAGGGAAACCGUUAAGUGUGCCGCCUGGGAAGUACGGUCGCAAGGCUAAAACUUAAAGGAAUUGGCGGGGGAGCACCACAAGGGGUGAAGCCUGCGGUUCAAUUGGACCCAACGCCGGAAAACUUACCAGGGGAGACAGCAGUAUGACGGUCAGGUUGACGACCUUACCUAACGAGCUGAGAGGAGGUGCAUGGCCGUCGCCAGUUCGUGCCGUGAGGUAUCCUGUUAAGUCAGGCAACGAACGAGAUCCGCACCUUUAUUUGCCACCAAGAAGUCACGACUUCGUUGGGAACACUAAAGGGACCGCCGUCGAUAAGACGGAGGAAGGAGCGGGCAAAGGCAGGUCAGUAUGCCCCGAAACCCCUGGGCUACACGCGGGCUGCAAUGGUAUGAACAAUGGGCUGUGACUCCGAAAGGAGAAACCAAUCCCGAAAUCAUAUCUCAGUUGGAAUUGUCGGCUGUAACCCGCCGACAUGAACGCGGAAUCCCUAGUAAUCGUGUGUCAUCAUCGCACGGUGAAUACGUCUCUGCUCCUUGCACACACCGCCCGUCGCUCCAUCCGAGUGUGCUAAAAAUGAGGUUUGGUCAAUUUGGUCAUAUCGAGUUUCUAGUAUGCGAGGAGGGAGAAGUCGUAACAAGGUA
Molecule: ribosomal RNA, 1220 nt
Filed under: metagenome
Description: bacterial SSU rRNA
Rfam family: Archaeal small subunit ribosomal RNA
Source: RNAcentral